AUUGAACGCUGGCGGCAGGCUUAACACGUGCAAGUCGAGCGGGGGAAGGUAGCUUGCUACCGGACCUAGCGGCGGACGGGUGAGUAAUGCUUAGGAAUCUGCCUAUUAGUGGGGGACAACAUCUCGAAAGGGAUGCUAAUACCGCAUACGUCCUACGGGAGAAAGCAGGGGAUCUUUGGACCUUGCGCUAAUAGAUGAGCCUAAGUCGGAUUAGCUAGUUGGUGGGGUAAAGGCCUACCAAGGCGACGAUCUGUAGCGGGUCUGAGAGGAUGAUCCGCCACACUGGGACUGAGACACGGCCCAGACUCCUACGGGAGGCAGCAGUGGGGAAUAUUGGACAAUGGGGGGAACCCUGAUCCAGCCAUGCCGCGUGUGUGAAGAAGGCCUUAUGGUUGUAAAGCACUUUAAGCGAGGAGGAGGCUACUUUAGUUAAUACCUAGAGAUAGUGGUCGUUACUCGCAGAAUAAGCACCGGCUAACUCUGUGCCAGCCGCCGCCGUAA
Molecule: ribosomal RNA, 501 nt
Filed under: uncultured bacterium
Lineage: Bacteria
Description: partial 16S ribosomal RNA
Rfam family: Bacterial small subunit ribosomal RNA
Source: RNAcentral